This 908-nucleotide long non-coding RNA is filed under the name Mus musculus (house mouse). RNAcentral describes it as "RIKEN cDNA 4732465J04 gene". Lineage: Eukaryota; Metazoa; Chordata; Mammalia; Rodentia; Muridae. The record is from RNAcentral.
AGUUGACUCCGGGGUUCGUAUAGGCAGGGAGCACAGGCGUAAGGCUGAGAUCGGCUUCCCUAGAGCCUUUCAAACUGGAUGGACCUGCACUUGUUGCUUAAAUGUCUUGAGGCCUGUGUUUCCACAUCUGGGAAAUGGGGAAAUUGUGGUGUUUGCUGUGAAGCUUCCUCAUUGGCUGAUGAACUCAUCUGGUGUUCCUAAGACCAACACCUUCAGUCCCAUUUCACAAAGUCCAAAUCACAAAGGAGGAAACUAUUUAUUUGAUGAAUGCUGUAUUGAAGACUUAGGAGGUGUGUCGUAACACCACCCAUCUAGAAGACCCCAGGAGAACUGAAUACCCCCAGUAGCUUUCAUCAUUCAGUGGCCAAAAGCACCACAACGUUUGUUGUCUUCUGAUUUCUGAGUUGUAAUGUGUUGGUAUCCAGGAGGCUCUUCUUCCCUUUAUACCUCACGAUGGUCCAAAGAAGACCAGAUACAGAAGAAAAAGAUUCAAGGAGAAGGCCUCUGUAAGACACAGUCAAAGUGCUAUUUAAGGCUUCAAGAGACCUUGUACAUAUCCUUUUUCCAACUUGAGACCCCAUCCUUGCCAUUAGAAUAAACUAGAACACUGUCUGCUAGAGGAUUCAAGUAGCUAUAUGCAACUUUUCCGUGCUAUAUACAUAUGGAUGAGUCCAGCCAAGGAUAAGCCCGUAAUCAAAUGCUCCAUACCAUCUGUUUGAGAGUUUUUUGAGACUGGGAUCACUGUCUGGAACCACAGGCCGCCCUCUGAAGGCUGGAGAGGUGGUGACAGCUGAACAAAUGAUGGCGCUACGAGUCCAUGGGUUAGGUUACCUGGGCAUGGGAAUCCCCAUAUAGCCAAUGCCUUCUCGGGUAUUAAGUGUCAGAUAAACACAGCUCCUCAACUGCUA